AGGACGAACGCUGGCGGCGUGCUUAACACAUGCAAGUCGAGCGGUAAGGCCUUUCGGGGUACACGAGCGGCGAACGGGUGAGUAACACGUGGGUGAUCUGCCCUGCACUUCGGGAUAAGCCUGGGAAACUGGGUCUAAUACCGGAUAUGACCUCAGGUUGCAUGACUUGGGGUGGAAAGAUUUAUCGGUGAAGGAUGGGCCCGCGGCCUAUCAGCUUGUUGGUGGGGUAAUGGCCUACCAAGGCGACGACGGGUAGCCGACCUGAGAGGGUGACCGGCCACACUGGGACUGAGACACGGCCCAGACUCCUACGGGAGGCAGCAGUGGGGAAUAGUUGCACAAUGGGCGAAAGCCUGGAUGCAGCGACGCCGCGUACGGAGGGAUGGACGGCCGUUCGGGUUGUUAAAACCGUCUUUUCCGAGCCGAGGACGGAAGCGACGAAGUGACGGUACCGUGACGAGAAGAAGACACCGGACCUAACGAACGUCGACC
RNAcentral lists this ribosomal RNA (492 nucleotides) under uncultured soil bacterium. RNAcentral describes it as "bacterial SSU rRNA". It matches the Rfam family "Bacterial small subunit ribosomal RNA", at positions 26 to 530 of the family's 1533-position model. The record is from RNAcentral.